AUUGAACGCUGGCGGCAUGCCUUACACAUGCAAGUCGAACGGCAGCACGGGUGCUUGCACCUGGUGGCGAGUGGCGAACGGGUGAGUAAUACAUCGGAACAUGUCCUGUAGUGGGGGAUAGCCCGGCGAAAGCCGGAUUAAUACCGCAUACGAUCCACGGAUGAAAGCGGGGGACCUUCGGGCCUCGCGCUAUAGGGUUGGCCGAUGGCUGAUUAGCUAGUUGGUGGGGUAAAGGCCUACCAAGGCGACGAUCAGUAGCUGGUCUGAGAGGACGACCAGCCAAGUGGGGAAUGAGAAACGGCACAGAACCCUAGGGGGGGGAAAAGGGGGGAAUUUGGAAAAAGGGGGGAAAUCUGAAUCCAAAAAGGCCGGGAGGGAAAAGAAGGCCUUAGGGUGGGAAAGGACUUGGAGCAGGAAAAAAACCCUUGACUGUAAAACAGUCGGGGGGUGACGGAAACGAAAAAAAAAGAAACGGCUAACUACGU
RNAcentral lists this ribosomal RNA (485 nucleotides) under uncultured bacterium. RNAcentral describes it as "partial 16S ribosomal RNA". It matches the Rfam family "Bacterial small subunit ribosomal RNA", at positions 29 to 506 of the family's 1533-position model. The record is from RNAcentral.